CGAGGGCCGCCGUCUUCAAGGGCGGGGAGCCACACUGACACGACCCGAAUCCGGACGAUCUACGCAUGGACAAGGCGAAGCGUGCCGAAAGGCACGUGGAGGCCUGUUAGAGUUGGUGUCCUACAAUACCCUCUCGUGAUCUAUGUGUAGGGGUGAAAGGCCCAUCGAGUCCGGCAACAGCUGGUUCCAAUCGAAACAUGUCGAAGCAUGACCUCCGCCGAGGUAGUUCGUGGGGUAGAGCGACCGAUUGGUGUGACCGCCUCCGAGAGGAGUCGGCACACCUGUCAAACUCCAAACCUACGAACGCUGUUUGACGCGGGGAUUCCGGUGUGCGGGGUAAGCCUGUGCACCAGGAGGGGAACAACCCAGAGAUAGGUUAAGGUCCCCAAGUGUGGAUUAAGUGUAAUCCUCUGAAGGUGGUCUCGAGCCCUAGACAGCCGGGAGGUGAGCUUAGAAGCAGCUACCCUCUAAGAAAAGCGUAACAGCUUACCGGCCGAGGUUUGAGGCGCCCAAAAUGAUCGGGACUCAAAUCCACCACCGAGACCUAUCCG
RNAcentral lists this ribosomal RNA (551 nucleotides) under Haloarcula saliterrae. RNAcentral's name for it is "partial 23S ribosomal RNA". It matches the Rfam family "Archaeal large subunit ribosomal RNA", at positions 747 to 1292 of the family's 2987-position model. Lineage: Archaea; Methanobacteriati; Methanobacteriota; Halobacteria; Halobacteriales; Haloarculaceae. The record is from RNAcentral.